Long non-coding RNA from Papio anubis (olive baboon), 1587 nucleotides. The record is from Ensembl. Lineage: Eukaryota; Metazoa; Chordata; Mammalia; Primates; Cercopithecidae.
AAUUGAUAGACAAGGUACAAUCAUAAUUAAGUAGCACUAUGAACUAAGCAUGAUGUCUUUCUUAAUAAUAAUAAUUGGUCUCCUAAAUAGGCUGUUAAAGCCCAGAUAAUCUUCUUCACAUCUUCAAUUUUGUAAAGUUCCCCUGACAAAAAAAAAAAAAAAACCUCUACCAAGUUAGUAUUCAGGAUAAUCCUACUUCUCAAUUAGAGUUCUUAAUAUGGAAAAAAGUUUUCCUGUCCCAAGAGGAUAUUCUUAAACAACUAGUAUUGGUGAGUUUGACCCACUUUCCAUAAAAUAGAUUUUUCCUUAUAUUUAUCUUAUUCCUCCCACUUUUCUAGUCGUUUUCCCCUCCCUUCUCCUUUUCAUAUAACUUAUUUUCUCAAGCUGUUCUCAGUUAGGCAGUGUCUGCAAAGAGCGCUGAUGUUUUCACUCUGAAAAGUCUCCAGUGAUUACACCCAGUUUCUUUCAUGCUAGAACUACAUAUUUAUCAACCCCAGAGAGCAAAGAUGAGGCGGCACCAGGGUAGUGAGUGAUGUGAAUUGCUGUCACAGCAGAAAUUGUGUUCGGGGAGGCUUCUAGAUAGGAAAAAAAAAAAUCUUCCAAUUAGGGAGGGGCAGACAGCACAAAGAAAGACAAAAAAUGGAUGAGAAAAAAAAAAAAAAGGAGGGGCAGCAAGAAAGCAGUGAGCAAUUAGAGAGGGCUCAGUGGUGUGCACAGUUGCCAAUCCCUGCUGGAAAUGCCCUCCAGUGGCCAGAAGUGGGUCGUAAGUGUAAUGAGCCAGGCAGCCUGACAUCUGGACUCUUUAGUCCAGCCUCAGAUUUCCACCUGGGUAUGACAACUUCAGAACUUCAGAGCUCAAAGUAAAUCCAGGGUGGAGUCUGAGAGUCUGCAUUUCCAAUGAGGCCCCAGGUAUUUCAAUGCUGCUUGUCAUAAACCACACUUUGAGUAGCAAGAAACUGAAUAGUCAAGAUAUAAGACAGGAUAAGUGUACAAGGAUAUGUACAUUUUCAUAAUUUCCUGAAGAGUACCCUUUUAACAAGGACUGAAGAAAUGGCUCUCUCAUGACUGAGGAGUGGUGAGUGGAUAAAACGUGAGAUUUGGAGUCAGACAACAUGAGUUCUCAAAAUAAGAUUUGGCAUUUGCUGAGUGAUCUUGAGUUAUGAACUUAAUAUUUCUGACUCUCAAUUUUAAUCUGUAAAGUUAGGAAUUAUAAAAAUACCUACUUCUUCUGUUGGCUAUAAAAAUCAAAAGGGAUAAACUAUGAUAUGGACUUAAAGUAAUACUCGCUUGUUAAUAUAGGUGAAUCAUAUGCCUUAAGUAGGCCAUCGCAGGAGGUAAUUUUAGGCAAAGGGUGUUUCCCAUAGCCCACCAAAUCACAGCAGCAGGCCCUGUGCUUAUUCUGCCACUUUAAUGGGCAGUCCUAAUUGACUACAAAGAAAUCUGUAAAAACAAAUAUCACAAUUAAGACCUAUUGAUUUAUGCAGGUGACUUUAUUUUCAUCAGUUAUCCAGUAGUUAUGGAGUUAUUUGAUAUGUGUUUUUAUCUUGUACAUAUGUUUCCCGAGUUGUCUCAGGCCCCAUAGCUUCA